UCUAUGAAUAAAUUGGUGAUUAUUAUAGUUUAUUGUACUGUGAAGGAUUUUUUUUUCGUGUUUAUAAGAAGGUUUAUUCUGUACCUUGUGUAUCAGGGUCUAUUAAAUAAGGGCUAUUAAAUUGGCUUUCCCGAUCUUAAAAGAGCUAUGCUUGAAUGGAUUUUACUGUAGAAAAAUUACUUUUAAUUUAGGCGUUGUAGUGAAAUGUUAGUCGUUUUUAAGGGUAUCUGGUUUCUUUAGAAAUGAAUUCAAUUCAGGCCUGCUUUAUUGUGUUUAUAAUUUUUUAUUGUACUAUGUGUAGGUCUAAUUCCCGGAGGGACAAGCUUUUGGGAAAAUUGCUAUAAGAGGCUAACUGUGGGGUUUAUGUAGGAUUAGAAUUUUCUAUCAUUUUAAUUAUGUUAAAAUUAGGGCUUCUUUUGUUUGAUUUUUUCUUCUUUUUGUUUUCUAUAGAGAUUUCUUUAGUAAUGUUGUUUAUUGAGGGAUUAUGGUGGAAUUAGUAUACUGGUAAAGUAAUUAUGUGUUUGUUUUGUGAGGUUAGGCUAAGGAACUCGGCAAUUAGUGUUUUCACCUGUUUAAUAAAAACAUGUCUUUUUGAUUAUUAUGAAAGGUCGGGCCUGCCCAAUGAUUUUUAAAUGGCCGCAGUAUUUUGACUGUGCAAAGGUAGCAUAAUCAUUAGUUUCUUGAUUGGGAGCUGGAAUGAAAGGUUUGAUGAGGGACAAUCUGUCUCUGCCUUAUUAUUGUUGAAUUUUAUUUUUGAGUAAGAAAGCUUAGAUUUUAUAAAAAGACGAGAAGACCCUAUAGAGUUUUAUGCUUAAUUUUUCUGUUAUUUGUAUGUUUUGUAUGGUAUCAGGCGAGUAAUCAUUUUGUUGGGGUGACAUUAAAAUUUAAUUAACUUUUAAUUAUUACUACGCGAAUGAGCGGCUGGUUGAUCCUUUAUUUAAGAUUAUAAGACUAAAUUACCUUAGGGAUAACAGCGUUAUUUUCCUUAGGAGUUCUUAUUUGUAGGGGAGUUUGCGACCUCGAUGUUGGAUUAAAAUUAAUUUUUGGUGUAGCAGCUGAAAUAUUGGGUCUGUUCGACCUUUGAAAUUUUACAUGAUCUGAGUUUAGACCGGCGUGAGCCAGGUUGGUUUCUAUCUUUUAUUUUGUCUGUUAUUCUAGUACGAAAGGACCGGGUGGCAUAAUUAUAUUAUUUAUU
This 1195-nucleotide ribosomal RNA is filed under the name Morphostenophanes yunnanus. Its description in RNAcentral is "16S ribosomal RNA". The stretch from base 777 to 1141 matches the Rfam family "Bacterial large subunit ribosomal RNA", at positions 2072 to 2648 of the family's 2925-position model. The record is from RNAcentral. Lineage: Eukaryota; Metazoa; Arthropoda; Insecta; Coleoptera; Tenebrionidae.